AUUCGGUGUUGGCGUGUGAAACUGUGACGGCGUAGGAUUGUUGUUGUUACUGAGAGUAUGUACAAGUUUAAAGGACACAGUCAAAUUGUCAUUAUGUUGGUGCACUUUGUUCCCAAAACCGAAACAAAAUUUAAACAGCAAGUUUUUGUCAUGGCUAGUUGUUGUGUUGGACGUUUAUGAUGAAACUGAUGGAUCAGAACUUUGAUUAUCACCUUGAAUGCCGAAUAACUGUGACAGAAUCAAUAAGGAAGGACCAUAUAAAGGCAUCACAUGUUCACAUCACUAUUUACACCAAAAUUUCAAAGCAAGACAUUGAAUUUGCCCAACUUGACAAGUUUUGAUGGCCAUUUGAUGUUCAAGGUGAUAAUGUAGAUGCUGAAUUUCUGUGAAUUUCAAUGUCAUGGCUUUCUACUAGUAGCGAUUGCAUGUCUCAACCCAUGCUGAAACACAACAGCAAAAGUAUUCUUGCUCAUGGACCAUAGGAUCUUUUCCGAAUCUUGGAAUUUUGGUAGUGAAACCUGUGACAGCAUACUCGUUAUGACUGUUUCUACAUCCCUGUAUGUGGUUGGAGGCAACCCAUCUGAGAGAUAGAGUUUCAGUUACAGUCACAUGACGAGUGUGAAGUGAAUGGAAUUCUCAUUUACUUUGCUGUUUGUGAAAAUCUUCAACACAUGACAUACACUAAUUGAAGUUUCAACAUUUCGAAAUUUCAUCAAGUCAACAGCUAUUACCUUCAAUCACAUGUGUGCUGUUGUAAAGGGGAGUUUGUUGUUCCACUGGUUCAUGUGUAGCAGUGAUAUAGCUGUCCAAAGUGUAUUGUUGCAGCCUGUGGUGAAAGAUAUUGUGCAACGAAUUGCGAAGGAAGGAGCUGCGGUGGUGUAAUAUCCUGUACUACUGUAUGGGGCUGUGGUGUAGUAAGUUGGACUCUCUUGCAGGUACCGCGUAACUUUGUUGGCGUCAUAUUCAGAAGAGUCCUGCUGGUAGGACGGCGUAGCAGCUGAGUAAUAUGAAUCAGUUUCCUCGGGUAAAUCGCCGGCAUUAUAGUGGGAAGAAGAUUCUUCGUAGGCCUACCGGGAGUAGAUUCCAGGUCGUAUGGGCUAUAGUAAUCGCUGGGCAAAUAGUAGCUCGCUACAGCUUGGGUGAAGGGAGCAGGUCCAUAUGCGUAGCUAGAAGUAGUGGUAUGGUAACCAUGCUCUUCGUACCGGUAGCCAUCAGUGGUAAAAGUUGGCGCUGAAUAAUAAGAACUCUUUGUGAGGGGCUCGUACUCGUGAUGGUCGGAUUCAGCUCCAUAAUUCGGUGCAACAUCGUAGUGAGGAGCAGCUGUUGUGUAAGCGAAAUAGGCAGUACUCUCGUAGUAAUAACCAGCUGUGGUGUAGUAGCCAGAAGUGGUGUAAGCUGUUGAAGUAUAAUAAGUAGCCGUUGUUGCGUAAUGGGAUUCGGCUUCAGCUUUGUAGCUAAGAGAGGCGUAAGAUGGAGCAGAGAAGUAAGAAGCUGACGUCGAGUAGUAAGUUGGAGCCUCAGUUCUGUAGCCAGCAGUGGAAUAAGACGGCAGAAAAUAACGAGAAGUCGUUGACGCGGAUAGUACGAAGGAGCCGGAGUGGAGUAGUACGAAUUCGACUUGACAGUAGUCGUUUCGUAUUUCUGUAAAUAACAAAAAAAAAAUCUGGGUAUGAAUGACUCUUUUUAAAACGUUCACAUCUACAGUGACGUACCUGAUAAGGCGUGUUGGUUGUCGUGUAGCUCUCGCCGUAAGUAGAAGAAGGUUUUAAUAUAUAUGACGCCACUCCGAUCCCGUAUCCAGGUUUGACGACGCCACAGGAGACAUUAACAACGCUAGUCAUUAGCAGAACAAGUGAAAGAGUCAAUCCCAAUCUUCCUAAUGCAUUUCAAACAGUAGGGAAGCAUAACUAUUGUUAAAGUACUAAAGUUUCAACUUUCAACAAAGAUCAAGAAGUUUCUUAAUUACAGAAUUUAAAAAAAAGCAGACGAAAUUAAAUAAGGCAAAGAAUGUAAACAAUGGACAAGGCGAAAGCUAAUUAUACUUGAUGGUUUGUUUGAAUACACCACAAUGUUAAAUAAUAAUAAUAACUUACCUAUGACGAUUUCAAAAAGUACCAAAGUUGAAUGAAGCUCAACUAAGGGUUUUCACACGUUUCUGAUUUUUAUAUACCUGUGCCCUCUUUGAUGCAAUGCCUAAUUACUCCCCCAAAACAGAUGAUCCUUAAUGGCGCGUUAAAAUUUCAACAUUUUUUACAGUUUUUCAGUAUACAAUUUUUCAGUUGAUUGAAAACUGACACAUUGGUACAAUUCCCUUACACUGAAUUAAUUUUGUAUUAGUCCAAUCCAAAUCCUAUUUUUUUAGGGCAUUUGUCUAAAUUAUAAAUGUGGAAUUCUCAGUAGAAUGGUUUUCUCAAUAGAUGGCGGUAUUGAUUCAUGAUUUUUGUUCUCAAUAGAGGGCCUGACUGACUCUCCACCAGGAACUAGCACAACAGCAGGUGUGUGUCUGUGCUAACAAAACUGCGUAUUUUGAAAUUUAAUUUAAUCCGUUUUAAACGGGUCAUUUCGAUAAAUGGGUUAAUUCACCCACAAUCUUAACAUACUUCAGUACAGGUUGUAAAUAGGAUGUGUAGUAACAGUAUUUGGGAAACUGUUAUGUGUUAUUAUUAGUCCAUUAUGUGCAUGUGCAUCCAGCAUUUGGUUGACAUGAGAUCAAAAAUGCGCUUUUCAAGUUUUGUGGGUAUGUUAAGACCAGUCCUUCAACUACGGCGGUUUGCUGUCAAAAGUUAAGCUAUCUUUUCUUCGAAAAUUUCCAAUGAAUUCAUAGUCUGAGGAAACAUGAAAGUGGUGCAGCCUACCGUCAACUAUUUUGUUCAAAUUCAUUCUAUUCUACUGAACGUGCCAUUGAAAUGAUACAGUUAACAACCAACACUAGCUUAAACUAACCUACAUUCUUCUCAUGUUUUAUUAGAAUUUAUCUUAAUUAUCGGCUGUUUCUUUUGGACUUGCUAGAUCACCGACCCCAGAAUGGACCAUUCUCUCAUUCCAUUUUCUAGAGAGCCUUGGAUAACUGAUUUAUGGUUUCAUGUGUAAGUUCACUUAUCAUGUUACUGAACUUUCUUCGUUCAAAAAGGUCAAAGACUACACGUUCAACAAGAUUCCUUGUUUGCUAACCCGUUGUCUGCCACCCUUGAAUCUCUCUGUUUGUCAACAACUGAAAAAGAGGUUCCUGAAUGGAUGGAAAUGAUGAAAAAUCGCCCGGAAUUGGGCCUCAAGGCCAACCAGAAAAUAGCUCAACGGAUGAAACACGGGCAGUUUCCUUACUCCAAAGAAUUUGAACAAGAUUCUGAUGGCUUAGCAUAAUCCUGCUUGGUGUCUUUAGAUAUCCUUUUUUUAUUUAAAGAAAGGUUUUCGGACGGCAUUUCUUUUAAACCUGGAAAAGUUGUUCAAGUUACUUGGGGCUCAAAGAAAAACAGAGACAUCAUCUUAUACAAGACACUCAAUACUUCAUUAAGUGCAAC
This 3518-nucleotide long non-coding RNA is filed under the name Daphnia pulicaria. RNAcentral's name for it is "uncharacterized LOC124328603, transcript variant X2". Lineage: Eukaryota; Metazoa; Arthropoda; Branchiopoda; Diplostraca; Daphniidae. The record is from RNAcentral.